UGGGGAAUAUUGCACAAUGGACGGAAGUUUGAUGCAGCGACGCCGCGUGGAGGGUGUAGGCCUUCGGGUUGUGAACUCCUUUUUCUCGCGAAAAAGGCACAGUUUUGGCUGUGUUGAUGGUAGUGGGGGAAGAAGCGCCGGCUAACUACGUGCCAGCAGCCGCGGUAAUACGUAGGGCGCGAGCGUUGUCCGGAUUUAUUUGGCGUAAAGAGCUCGUAGGUGGUUCGUCGCGUCUGUCGGGAAAGCCAGCAGCUUAACUGUUAGUCUGCGGUGGGUACGGGCGGGCUUGAGUGCGGUAGGGGUGACUGGAAUUCCUGGUGUAGCGGUGGAAUGCGCAGAUAUCAGGAGGAACACCGAUGGCGAAGGCAGGUCACUGGGCCGUUACUGACACUGAGGAGCGAAAGCGUGGGGAGCGAACAGG
This 421-nucleotide ribosomal RNA is filed under the name Fusobacteriota bacterium. Its description in RNAcentral is "Fusobacteria bacterium partial 16S ribosomal RNA". It matches the Rfam family "Bacterial small subunit ribosomal RNA", at positions 355 to 776 of the family's 1533-position model. Lineage: Bacteria; Fusobacteriati; Fusobacteriota. The record is from RNAcentral.